UACCUCUCAGAGCUCGCCUUACUCUCCAUCUAACAAACCAAGGAGAGGAACCUGGUAACCCAUCGUCUUUACCUCUCAGAGCUCGCCUUACUCUCCAUCUGACAAACCAAGGAGAGGAACCUGGUACAAUGAUGAAGAAGCCAGAAUUCUUGACGACCUGUAAGGCUGACCAGCGGUCGCACUUCAAAUCCAAGGUAAAAGUCUAUGUUACAAAAAAUAUAUAACGAAAGCAGUUGAUAAUGAAGAAAUUAGCUUGAUGAAACAAAACAACUUUACAUCAGUGGGAUUUGGGUCUGAAUUUGAUGUGGUAGCUGUUCCUAAUUGGUUGAUUACUUAUCAGAAGGAAAAAUGUUCAGGCAAAAUCUUCUUAAGAGAUGCAACGCAACAACCACCUCUCUCUCUCUCUCCCUCUCUCUAUAGUGGAAAGUGAUGAUUUCAAUAAUUGUGUAAAUUGGCAUUGUGUUGCCUUUUCAAUCCCAUUGAGAUGUAGCAUUUUUAUUUACUGGCAAUGUUAGAAUUUAGAUACAUCUUGGACAUCAAGAAUGAUUAAUGUAAUGUAUGAAUUAUAUUUGAAUGAGUAUGGAAUGAUGGGGUUGAGAGAGGGAGAGAGGGAGGGAGAUGAAAUUGGAGUGAUUAUAUUUGGAAUUUAA
Molecule: long non-coding RNA, 650 nt
Organism: Quercus lobata
Lineage: Eukaryota; Viridiplantae; Streptophyta; Magnoliopsida; Fagales; Fagaceae
Exons: 3
Source: RefSeq, a predicted model, not a curated record